GAUUUAUAAAGAAGCGUGGAGAGACUGGCUCUGAGAAACGCUAGCAACCUGGUCACCAAAUCCAAGGUGCUAAAUCCUGAUCCCGGGAAUGUUCGUCAAGUGACGGAUGAGGG
Fulvivirga imtechensis AK7 is the source of this 113-nucleotide regulatory RNA element. It matches the Rfam family "SAM riboswitch aptamer (S box leader)". Rfam says of the family: The SAM riboswitch is found upstream of a number of genes which code for proteins involved in methionine or cysteine biosynthesis in Gram-positive bacteria. NCBI's taxonomy places the organism in Bacteria, Pseudomonadati, Bacteroidota, Cytophagia, Cytophagales, Fulvivirgaceae. The record is from Rfam.